UCACUGGUGGCUCAAUUGGUAAAGAAUCUGCCUGCAGUGCAGGAUACCCAGGUUCAAUCCCUGGGUUGGGAA
RNAcentral lists this transfer RNA (72 nucleotides) under Ovis aries (sheep). It matches the Rfam family "tRNA". Rfam says of the family: Transfer RNA (tRNA) molecules are approximately 80 nucleotides in length. Their secondary structure includes four short double-helical elements and three loops (D, anti-codon, and T loops). The record is from Rfam by way of RNAcentral. Lineage: Eukaryota; Metazoa; Chordata; Mammalia; Artiodactyla; Bovidae.